UCGACCUGAGCUCAGGCAAGAUUACCCGCUGAACUUAAGCAUAUCAAUAAGCGGAGGAAAAGAAACUAACAAGGAUUCCCCUAGUAACGGCGAGCGAACCGGGAAUAGCCCAACUUGGAAAUCUCCCUCGGAGAAUUGUAGUCUAUAGAAGCGCCCUCUGCAGCGGCCGGGUCCCAAGUCCCCUGGAAGGGGGCGUCGUAGAGGGUGAGAACCCCGUCGGACCUUGGUGCGGCUGCCUCACGAGGUGCUUUCGAAGAGUCGGGUUGUUUGGGAAUGCAGCCCAAAGCUGGUGGUAAAUCCCAUCUAAGGCUAAAUAUUGGCGAGAGACCGAUAGCGAACAAGUACCGCGAGGGAAAGAUGAAAAGAACUUUGAAAAGAGAGUUAAAAAGUGCUUGAAAUUGUUGAGGGGGAAGCGAUUGGCAGCUGCGUGUGCACCCAGGCUUACGCCGUUCUAACGAUCGGCUGCAUGCGCUGGGUGUUGGUCAGCAUGGGUUGGCUUGGCAGGAUAAACGCGGGGGUUGUUACUCCGUCUAUGCUGCCGGGCCGACCGAGGCGUGAAGGCCGCUCUUGUCCCUCGGGAUCUGCGGCCUCGAGAUGCUGGCGGAAGGCUUUCAAUCGGCCCGUCUUGAAACACGGACCAAGGAGUCUAACAUGUAUGCGAGCUGGUGGGUGGUAAACCCAUGAGGCGCAAGUAACCUGACUUUGGUGGGAUGGCCGCAAGGCCUGCACCAUCGACCGACCGUGAUCUUCUGUGAAAGGUUCGAGUACGAGCAUACCUGUUGGGACCCGAAAGAUGGUGAACUAUGCCUGAGCAGGGCGAAGCCAGAGGAAACUCUGGUGGAGGCUCGUAGAUGUGCUGACGUGCAAAUCGCUUUUCGGACUUGGGUAUAGGGGCGAAAGACUAAUCGAACCAUCUAGUAGCUGGUUCCCUCCGAAGUUUCCCCCAGGAUAGCUGGAGCUUGUGUGUCAGUUUUAUCGGGUAAAGCUAAUGAUUAGAGGUUCGGGGGAUGAAACAUCUUCCACCUAUUCUCAAACUUUAAAUAGGUAAGACGUGUGAGUUGCUUAACUGAACUCACGCAUUCAAUGAGAGCUCCAAGUGGGCCAUUUUUGGUAAGCAGAACUGGCGAUGCGGGAUGAACCGAUAGUUGGGUUAAGGUGCCGGACUACGCGCUAACCUAGAUCCCACAAAGGGUGUUGAUUGAUACAGACAGCAGGACGGUGGUCAUGGAAGUCGAAAUCCGCUAAGGAGUGUGUAACAACUCACCUGCCGAAUCAAUUAGCCCCGAAAAUGGAUGGCGCUGAAGCGCGUGACCUAUACCCGGCCAUGGGGGCAAGUGCGAGGCUCCCAUGAGUAGGAGGGCGUGGGUGUCGCUGCGCAGCCUGGGGCGUGAGCCCGGGUGAAGCGGCACCUAGUGCAGAUCUUGGUGGUAGUAGCAAAUAUUCAAAUGAGAACUUUGAAGACUGAAGGGGAGAAA
This 1475-nucleotide ribosomal RNA is filed under the name Draparnaldia glomerata. RNAcentral's name for it is "eukaryotic LSU rRNA". It matches the Rfam family "Eukaryotic large subunit ribosomal RNA", at positions 1 to 1504 of the family's 3401-position model. The record is from RNAcentral. Lineage: Eukaryota; Viridiplantae; Chlorophyta; Chlorophyceae; Chaetophorales; Chaetophoraceae.